RNAcentral lists this ribosomal RNA (858 nucleotides) under Pseudochaetosphaeronema pandanicola. Its description in RNAcentral is "SSU rRNA". It matches the Rfam family "Eukaryotic small subunit ribosomal RNA", at positions 88 to 957 of the family's 1831-position model. Lineage: Eukaryota; Fungi; Ascomycota; Dothideomycetes; Pleosporales. The record is from RNAcentral.
UGCGAAUGGCUCAUUAAAUCAGUUAUCGUUUAUUUGAUAGUACCUUACUACUUGGAUAACCGUGGUAAUUCUAGAGCUAAUACAUGCUAAAAACCCCAACUUCGGGAGGGGUGUAUUUAUUAGAUAAAAAACCAAUGCCCUUCGGGGCUCUUUGGUGAUUCAUGAUAACUUCUCAGAUCGCAUGGCCUUGCGCCGGCGACGGUUCAUUCAAAUUUCUGCCCUAUCAACUUUCGAUGGUAAGGUAUUGGCUUACCAUGGUUUCAACGGGUAACGGGGAAUUAGGGUUCGAUUCCGGAGAGGGAGCCUGAGAAACGGCUACCACAUCCAAGGAAGGCAGCAGGCGCGCAAAUUACCCAAUCCCGACACGGGGAGGUAGUGACAAUAAAUACUGAUACAGGGCUCUUUUGGGUCUUGUAAUUGGAAUGAGUACAAUUUAAACCUCUUAACGAGGAACAAUUGGAGGGCAAGUCUGGUGCCAGCAGCCGCGGUAAUUCCAGCUCCAAUAGCGUAUAUUAAAGUUGUUGCAGUUAAAAAGCUCGUAGUUGAACCUUUGGCCUGGCCAGCAGGUCCGCCUCACCGCGUGCACUUGUCAGCCGGGCCUUUUCUUCUGGAGAACCGCAUGCCCUUCACUGGGUGUGUUGGGGACCAGGACUUUUACUUUGAAAAAAUUAGAGUGUUCAAAGCAGGCCUUUGCUCGAAUACGUUAGCAUGGAAUAAUAGAAUAGGACGUGCGGUCCUAUUUUGUUGGUUUCUAGGACCGCCGUAAUGAUUAAUAGGGACAGUCGGGGGCAUCAGUAUUCAAUUGUCAGAGGUGAAAUUCUUGGAUUUAUUGAAGACUAACUACUGCGAAAGCAUUUG